GGAUGUGCGCAGGAGCAGUUCGUCUCUGGCUGGGGUUGAUUUUUGCCGUUUGUUCCCGGAGAAGGCCACAGGCAGGUCACGGAUUUGCAGGAACAUGAUGUUGGUAGAGCACAACUCUAGAGAGCGAGAGUCAAUCUUAGGAAUAUGUGGACUGAGACCUUUCACCAGAGCUUCAGGGAAGAGACUGAGAUGAAGGAGCAGAUCCUGGACUAUUUGUGGUAGAGGAAUUACUGCUUCAUCCUGCUAGGAGAGACAAGACUUUGUUAAAGCUUGAACAGCAAGGAGGGAAUAACUGUAGAGUUCUUCACUGUAGUGCUGGAAUUGAAAGCUCAGAACUCUGCUGCUGUCUCAGAACUCUGCCUUUUCCCAAUAUAAUACAAAAGAGGAAAAGAAAGAGCUGGAAAUGACUUCUGUUCUACUUUCAGUUAGAUCCCAGGUGAGUAGAGUUUUCCUUCUAAAUACCAUCUUAUUUAUCAGAAUAUUGAUAUACUUUUU
This 495-nucleotide long non-coding RNA is filed under the name Vombatus ursinus (common wombat). RNAcentral describes it as "lncRNA (ENSVURG00010004602.1)". The record is from RNAcentral. Lineage: Eukaryota; Metazoa; Chordata; Mammalia; Diprotodontia; Vombatidae.